This 90-nucleotide transfer RNA is filed under the name Penicillium expansum. It matches the Rfam family "tRNA". Rfam says of the family: Transfer RNA (tRNA) molecules are approximately 80 nucleotides in length. Their secondary structure includes four short double-helical elements and three loops (D, anti-codon, and T loops). The record is from Rfam by way of RNAcentral. Lineage: Eukaryota; Fungi; Ascomycota; Eurotiomycetes; Eurotiales; Aspergillaceae.
GCCUCUUUAGCUCAGUGGUAGAGCGUAUCACUCGUAUGGAAAUUUCCUACAAUUAUGAUAAGGUCGUCGGAUCAAUCCCGACAGGAGGCA